Long non-coding RNA from Gallus gallus (chicken), 1288 nucleotides. Lineage: Eukaryota; Metazoa; Chordata; Aves; Galliformes; Phasianidae. The record is from Ensembl.
CGGGCGCGGGGUGGGUUGGGGUCGUGCGGUGUCGCUGCGGCCGUUGGAGCUGAGGGGGCAGCGCCCCGCGUGUCCCCCGGGAUCUCUGCCCUCGUAGUUCACAACGUGGACUGUGUCCUAUCUACCAUUACUUCUGUUCAUGUCACAACUGAAAUACUAAUGAAAGUAUCCUGCCAAAACAAAUCUUCACGCAUAGAACAUCGCUAAUCCUCUGUGUUUCCCCUUCCUCCUGCAAAUGCGUGUGGCGGCCUUUCGUUUUUGCUUACAAACUAUUUCUGCAACAGUGAGAAGCAGCGUCGGCACUCAAGGUGCUGCCCCACACACCCGACGUGUGGUAACUCCAGACUCCCGCCCACGUGCCUCCGUGGAAAGGGACUGCUCAGCCUGGACAGAGAAGCAGCUGAGCCUCGGUGCUCACUUGCAUGCGCAUAGCUGCAGAACUGUUCGAGCUGAGAGGGCACCUCAGCUCCGGUGGGCCUUAGACUUUCUGAUUUAGCCUGAAGAGUGUUAGAAGAGUGGCACUGAGGCACACGAUGGUCUUUCAUUCCCUUGAAUGCUGCUGAGGGAGCAGAAGUAACAGCAGACUGCUAUGAGGAAGGUAGAAGACAAUAUUACAAGUGGCUCCUUCACUCCCAGAUGUCUCAGAUGUCACGUCUGGUUCAUUUGAAAGACCUGUCAGCUGAGAGCCGCUGCUGGCUCCCCACAAAGCAGGCAAAGCUCAAGCACCCACUUCCUGCAGGUUUGCUCCAUCAGAAUGGAUACACCACUGUGAGAGAAGUGAGCUUUAUAGAGCUGAAAAUACUGAUCGGUUCACCUACGACUGAAGUGCAACCACUCUUCAGCAGAAUUUCUCUGCUAGAAACACAUCUGCACACCCUUUAGGACAAGGAAUUAAUUAAAUCAGUAGAAUGUUUUCAGUAAUUUGGGUAGAUCCAAAACAACACACGCUUUCAUGCUUGUGUUAAAACUGGUAAAGCAGCGUAACAUACACUGAGAGUUCACAACGUACAUUGUCUAAAAUCAUAGAAUCAUAGAAUGGCUUGGAUUGAAAAGGACCACAAUGAUAAUUGAGUUUCAACCCCCCUGCUACAUACAGGGUCGCCAACCACCAGACCAGGCUGCCCAGAGCCACAUCCAGCCUGGCCUUGAAUAUCUCCAUGGAUGGGCAUCCACAACCUCCUUGGGCAGUGUAGGAAGGUGAAAUUUUAGACUAGACAAACAUUUGAUGAGAAAUCUACCAUGCCAGCAAACUUCUUGGAAGGUUAUUUUCUAAGUAAACUUGUAUUAU